RNAcentral lists this ribosomal RNA (253 nucleotides) under uncultured bacterium. RNAcentral's name for it is "partial 16S ribosomal RNA". It matches the Rfam family "Bacterial small subunit ribosomal RNA", at positions 524 to 776 of the family's 1533-position model. The record is from RNAcentral.
UACGGAGGGGGCAAGCGUUGUUCGGAAUUACUGGGCGUAAAGGGCGCGUAGGUGGCCAACUAAGUCAGACGUGAAAUCCCUCAGCUUAACUGGGGAACUGCGUCUGAUACUGGAUGGCUUGAGUUUGGGAGAGGGAUGCGGAAUUCCAGGUGUAGCGGUGAAAUGCGUAGAUAUCUGGAGGAACACCGGUGGCGAAGGCGGCAUCCUGGACCAACACUGACACUGAUGCGCGAAAGCCAGGGGAGCAAACGGG